CAGGAUGAACGCUAGCGACAGGCCUAACACAUGCAAGUCGAGGGGCAGCACAAGGAGCAAUCUGAGGUGGCGACCGGCGCACGGGUGAGUAACACGUAUGCAACCUGCCUGUAAGCGGGGAAUAACCCGUUGAAAGACGGACUAAUACCGCAUAAUACUAAAUUACUGCAUGGUAAUUUAUUUAAACAUUUAUGGCUUACAGAUGGGCAUGCGCAUGAUUAGCUAGUUGGAGAGGUAACGGCUCCCCAAGGCAACGAUCAUUAGGGGUUCUGAGAGGAAGGUCCCCCCACACUGGUACUGAGACACGGACCAGACUCCUACGGGAGGCAGCAGUGAGGAAUAUUGGUCAAUGGACGAGAGUCUGAACCAGCCAAGUCGCGUGCAGGAAGAAUUGUCCUAUGGAUUGUAAACUGCUUUUGCAGGGGAAUAAAGUGCAUCACGUGUGAUGUUUUGUAUGUACUCUGCGAAUAAGGAUCGGCUAACUCCGUGCCAGCCGCGGC
This 500-nucleotide ribosomal RNA is filed under the name uncultured bacterium. RNAcentral's name for it is "bacterial SSU rRNA". It matches the Rfam family "Bacterial small subunit ribosomal RNA", at positions 25 to 518 of the family's 1533-position model. The record is from RNAcentral.